UAAUUGCCAAACAGCCACAACUUCUCUGGUUUAGAUUUUCUGAAAUAGCAACCAGAAUAUUAAGGAAUACAAAAGCAUUGCCCUCAAGGUAUUGUCAUCGCUACAUGUUUCAAGCAUCCGCAAAGGAUUACCAUUGGUUGGUUUCCUUCCCAAGAACAACCAACACAAGAACAAUAAAUCAAGCUGGCCGGGCAUUAUUGACUAUAAUGUCUUGAUGCACUAUUGGUAGGGCACCAUCUGCCUUGCACAUUGUGCAUUGUAAACAUCGCAAACAAUUGUCGUGAAAUUAGUUCUCAAACUAAGAUCAUAACACCUGUACCGCUUAUACAA
Rhododendron vialii is the source of this 330-nucleotide long non-coding RNA. RefSeq lists it as uncharacterized. Lineage: Eukaryota; Viridiplantae; Streptophyta; Magnoliopsida; Ericales; Ericaceae. The record is from RefSeq and is a predicted model, not a curated record. The transcript is spliced from 2 exons.